Molecule: long non-coding RNA, 974 nt
Organism: Pistacia vera
Lineage: Eukaryota; Viridiplantae; Streptophyta; Magnoliopsida; Sapindales; Anacardiaceae
Exons: 3
Source: RefSeq, a predicted model, not a curated record
AAUGAAAGGAAAAAAAAAAAGGGUGAGAGAGGAGAAGCUUGUUUUCUUUUCUCUUUCUCAUUUUGCGUUCAUUCUCUUGUGUAAAUUGAAAGAGAGAAAAGCAAUUUUAAGUUGAAGUAGAAGAGGGCCGAGAGGUGAUUUGUAGGGGGAGAAUUUUCAUAAGGGUGAAGAAGAUAGGAGAACCGAGCACUUGAGUUGAAAGCAAAGGAGAAAGUUACCCAUCCCCCUCGAGACAUCAGCUAGUGUUUGAUAUUUAUCCUUGUGCGCGCAUUGAGAUGGUCCAUCCUACUGAACGAUUGGGAUAUCCUACUCGUGCAAGACAGACGCCUGAUGAGCUCCGGGUGGGAUUACACCAGGCGGUUAUUGGUCGAUGUGGGAUUUUGGACGCCCCGAGGGUAGACCGUGGGCGAGAUUAUAUUUGAUACCAUAUCAUGACAGCCCGAGGGUAGACUGUGGGUCGAGCAUGGUUAUCCAGUGAUGUUCGUACCAUCCCAAGGGUAGACUGCGGAUGGUGCCACCCCGAGGGUAGAUUGCAGGUAGUGUAGCUUCAUGUCUGAGUUAAGGACUGGUUCGGAUAGUUAUGAUCCAGGUCCCUAAGUGCUAGUAGGGUGGUGAUAAUUGAUUUAUUUUAUAUGAUAGUGGUGUGUGAUUUCAUGGCAUCCAAGAAUAAAAUAUGGUGUUCGUUGCCUCAUCAUGUAAGUGCAUUAGUGUUGUGUGGCAUGCAACUAGAUUAUUCAUGCAUGUUUUCAAAGUUAAAGUUAUUUUCGCAGCUCACUGUUUAUGUUUCCUCCCCUAGGAUCAUAGAUCGGGUUCAUGUGGAGCAUACUCGAUGCCCUAGGUUAGCCUUGACGCAUGAUGAUUUGCAUCUUUUACAAACUUUAGUGGACUCUGAUAUUAUGUUUCUUUUUGUAACCGGAUUUUUAGUUCUCGCUUUUAGAAUAAUUAUUUGUGUAUUUCCGCUUUCUAAAACUUAA